CCUACGGGCGGCAGCAGUAGGGAAUAUUGCUCAAUGGGGGAAACCCUGAAGCAGCAACGCCGCGUGGAGGAUGAAGUUUUUCGGAUUGUAAACUUCUUUUGUUAGAGAAGAUAAUGACGGUAUCUAACGAAUAAGCACUGGCUAACUCCGUGCCAGCAGCCGCGGUAAUACGGAGGGUGCAAGCGUUACUCGGAAUCACUGGGCGUAAAGAGCGCGUAGGCGGGAUAGAAAGUCAGAUGUGAAAUCCUAGGGCUUAACCAUAGAACUGCAUUUGAAACUGUUAUUCUAGAGUAUAGGAGAGGUAGGUGGAAUUCUGGGUGUAGGGGUAAAAUGCGUAGAGAUUAAGAGGAAUACUAAUUGCGAAGGCGACCUGCUAGAACAUAACUGACGCUGAUGCGCGAAAGCGUGGGGAGCAAACAGGAUUAGAUACCCCGGUAGUC
RNAcentral lists this ribosomal RNA (440 nucleotides) under uncultured bacterium. Its description in RNAcentral is "partial 16S ribosomal RNA". It matches the Rfam family "Bacterial small subunit ribosomal RNA", at positions 338 to 795 of the family's 1533-position model. The record is from RNAcentral.